ACAUCCAGAGAAUUUAGCAGAGAUGCUUUAGUGCCUUCGGGAACUCUGAGACAGGUGCUGCAUGGCUGUCGUCAGCUCGUGUUGUGAAAUGUUCGGGUUAAGUCCCGNAACGAGCGCAACCCUUAUCCUUUGUUGCCAGCACGUAAUGGUGGGAAACUCAAAGGAGACUGCCGGUGAUAAACCGGAGGAAGGUGGGGAUGACGUCAAGUCAUCAUGGCCCUUACGAGUAGGGCUACACACGUGCUACAAUGGCGCAUACAAAGAGAAGCGACCUCGCGAGAGCAAGCGGACCUCAUAAAGUGCGUCGUAGUCCGGAUUGGAGUCUGCAACUCGACUCCAUGAAGUCGGAAUCGCUAGUAAUCGUAAAUCAGAAUGUUACGGUGAAUACGUUCCCGGGCCUUGUACACACCGCCCGUCACACCAUGGGAGUGGGUUGCAAAAGAAGUAGAUAGCUUAACCUUCGGGAGGGCGUUUACCACUUUGUGAUUCAUGACUGGGGUGAAGUCGUAACAAGGUAAGCGUAGUGCU
Molecule: ribosomal RNA, 528 nt
Filed under: uncultured bacterium
Lineage: Bacteria
Description: bacterial SSU rRNA
Rfam family: Bacterial small subunit ribosomal RNA
Source: RNAcentral